Molecule: ribosomal RNA, 327 nt
Filed under: uncultured Acidobacteriota bacterium
Lineage: Bacteria; Pseudomonadati; Acidobacteriota
Description: bacterial SSU rRNA
Rfam family: Bacterial small subunit ribosomal RNA
Source: RNAcentral
AAUCAACGCUGGCGGCGUGCCUAACACAUGCAAGUCGAACGAGAAAGCGGGGGCAACCCUGUGAGUAAAGUGGCAGACGGGUGAGUAACACGUGAACAACCUACCCUCGAGUGGGGAAUAACACCGCGAAAGCGGUGCUAAUACCGCAUAACAUCUUCGGAUCGCAUGAUCUGAAGAUCAAAAGCGCAAGUUGCUUGAGGAGGGGUUCGCGCCUGAUUAGCUAGUUGGUGAGGUAACGGCCCACCAAGGCAAUGAUCAGUAGCCGGCCUGAGAGGGCGAACGGCCACACUGGAACUGAGACACGGUCCAGACUCCUACGGGAGGCAG